GCCCAGGUGGCGGAAUUGGUAGACGCACUACCUUGAGGUGGUAGCGCUUUCGGGCGUAGGGGUUCGAGUCCCCUCUUGGGCACCA
Molecule: transfer RNA, 85 nt
Filed under: Arenimonas maotaiensis
Lineage: Bacteria; Pseudomonadati; Pseudomonadota; Gammaproteobacteria; Lysobacterales; Lysobacteraceae
Also listed under: 1 other name
Description: tRNA-Leu
Rfam family: tRNA
About the family: Transfer RNA (tRNA) molecules are approximately 80 nucleotides in length. Their secondary structure includes four short double-helical elements and three loops (D, anti-codon, and T loops). Further hydrogen bonds mediate the characteristic L-shaped molecular structure. tRNAs have two regions of fundamental functional importance: the anti-codon, which is responsible for specific mRNA codon recognition, and the 3' end, to which the tRNAs corresponding amino acid is attached (by aminoacyl-tRNA synthetases). tRNAs cope with the degeneracy of the genetic code in two manners: having more than one tRNA (with a specific anti-codon) for a particular amino acid; and 'wobble' base-pairing, i.e. permitting non-standard base-pairing at the 3rd anti-codon position.
Source: RNAcentral